AGUGAACGCUGGCGGUAGGCCUGACACAUGCAAGUCGAACGGCAGCACAGUAAGAGCUUGCUCUUACGGGUGGCGAGUGGCGGACGGGUGAGGAAUACAUCGGAAUCUACUUUUUCGUGGGGGAUAACGUGGGGAAACUUACGCUAAUACCGCAUACGACCUACGGGUGAAAGCAGGGGAUCUUCGGACCUUGCGCGAUUGAAUGAGCCGAUGUCGGAUUAGCUAGUUGGCGGGGUAAAGGCCCACCAAGGCGACGAUCCGUAGCUGGUCUGAGAGGAUGAUCAGCCACACUGGAACUGAGACACGGUCCAGACUCCUACGGGAGGCAGCAGUGGGGAAUAUUGGACAAUGGGCGCAAGCCUGAUCCAGCCAUACCGCGUGGGUGAAGAAGGCCUUCGGGUUGUAAAGCCCUUUUGUUGGGAAAGAAAAGCAGCAGGUUAAUACCCCGCUGUUCUGACGGUACCCAAAGAAUAAGCACCGGCUAACUUCGUG
Molecule: ribosomal RNA, 492 nt
Filed under: uncultured bacterium
Lineage: Bacteria
Description: partial 16S ribosomal RNA
Rfam family: Bacterial small subunit ribosomal RNA
Source: RNAcentral